UAGCUCAAUUGGUAGAGCAACUGACUUGUAAUCAGUAGGUUGGGGGUUCAAGUCCUCUG
This 59-nucleotide transfer RNA is filed under the name Staphylococcus aureus. RNAcentral's name for it is "tRNA-Thr". It matches the Rfam family "tRNA", at positions 8 to 63 of the family's 71-position model. Rfam says of the family: Transfer RNA (tRNA) molecules are approximately 80 nucleotides in length. The record is from RNAcentral. RNAcentral also lists the same sequence under 4 other names. Lineage: Bacteria; Bacillati; Bacillota; Bacilli; Caryophanales; Staphylococcaceae.